ACGGCUGCUCAGUAACACGUAGUCAACUUACCCUAUGGACGAGGAUAAUCUCGGGAAACUGAGCUUAAUACUCGAUAGAUCAUAAUGCCUGGAACGGUUUAUGGUUGAAAUGAUUCGUCGCCAUAGGAUAGGACCGCGGCCUAUCAGCUUGUUGGUGAGGUAAUGGCCCACCAAGGCGAUUACAGGUACGGGCUCUGAGAGGAGAAGCCCGGAGAUGGGUACUGAGACAAGGACCCAGGCCCUAUGGGGCGCAGCAGGCGAGAAAACUUUGCAAUGUGCGAAAGCACGACAAGGUUAAUCCGAGUGAUUUCUGCUAAAGAAAUCUUUUGCAAGUCAUAAAACCACUAGUGAAUAAGGGGUGGGCAAGUUCUGGUGUCAGCCGCCGCGGUAAAACCAGCACCUCAAGUGGUCAGGAGGAUUAUUGGGCCUAAAGCAUCCGUAGCCGGCUCUGUAAGUUUUCGGUUAAAUCCAUGUGCUCAACGCAUGGGCUGUCGAAAAUACUGCAUAGCUAGGGAGUGGGAGAGGUAGACGGUACUCGGUAGGAAGGGGUAAAAUCCUUUGAUCUAUCGAUGACCACCUGUGGCGAAGGCGGUCUACCAGAACACGUUCGACGGUGAGGGAUGAAAGCUGGGGGAGCAAACCGGAUUAGAUACCCGGGUAGUCCCAGCUGUAAACGAUGCAGACUCGAUGAUGCAUUGGCAUAUAGCCAGUGCAGUGUCGCAGGGAAGCCGUUAAGUCUGCCGCCUGGGAAGUACGUACGCAAGUAUGAAACUUAAAGGAAUUGGCGGGGGAGCAG
RNAcentral lists this ribosomal RNA (796 nucleotides) under uncultured marine thaumarchaeote. Its description in RNAcentral is "bacterial SSU rRNA". It matches the Rfam family "Archaeal small subunit ribosomal RNA", at positions 82 to 879 of the family's 1478-position model. The record is from RNAcentral. Lineage: Archaea; Thermoproteati; Nitrososphaerota.